AUUGAACGCUGGCGGCAUGCCUUACACAUGCAAGUCGAACGGUAACAGGUUAAGCUGACGAGUGGCGAACGGGUGAGUAAUGUAUCGGAACGUGCCCAGUCGUGGGGGAUAACUGCUCGAAAGAGCAGCUAAUACCGCAUACGACCUGAGGGUGAAAGCGGGGGAUCGCAAGACCUCGCGCGAUUGGAGCGGCCGAUAUCAGAUUAGGUAGUUGGUGGGGUAAAGGCCUACCAAGCCUACGAUCUGUAGCUGGUCUGCGAGGACGACCAGCCACCCUGGGGCUGAGAGACGGCCCAGACUCCUACGGGAGGCAGCAGUGGGGAAUUUUGGACAAUGGACGCAAGUCUGAUCCAGCCAUGCCGCGUGCGGGAAGAAGGCCUUCGGGUUGUAAACCGCUUUUGUCAGGGAAGAAAAGGUUCUGGUUAAUACCUGGGACUCAUGACGGUACCUGAAGAAUAAGCACCGGCUAACUACGUGCCAGCAGCCGCAGUAA
This 493-nucleotide ribosomal RNA is filed under the name uncultured bacterium. RNAcentral's name for it is "partial 16S ribosomal RNA". It matches the Rfam family "Bacterial small subunit ribosomal RNA", at positions 30 to 523 of the family's 1533-position model. The record is from RNAcentral.